RNAcentral lists this unclassified non-coding RNA (455 nucleotides) under Hevea brasiliensis (rubber tree). The record is from RNAcentral. Lineage: Eukaryota; Viridiplantae; Streptophyta; Magnoliopsida; Malpighiales; Euphorbiaceae.
UGAUACAAUGUGCUCCAUUGAAAGCUUCCAAGAGGAACACAACUAGGGCAAUUCUUCUGGACUAUGAUGGUACUCUAAUGCCUCAGGCAUCGAUUGAUAAGAGUCCAUCUCACAAGUCAAUUGACAUCCUAAAUGGCUUGUGCACAGAUAAGAACAACAUGGUUUUCCUUGUUAGUGCCAGAAGCCGCAAUACACUCACUGAAUGGUUUUCUCAAUGUAGCUGCAGAGCAUGGGUACUUCCUGAGGCUGACAAGAGAUGCAGAAUGGGAAACAUGUGCCCCUGUAACAGACACUGCUUGGAAGCAGAUUGCAGAACCUGUGAUGCAGCUCUAUAUGGAAACAACUGAUGGUUCCACUAUCGAGGAUAAGGAAACUGCUGUAGUAUGGUGUUAUGAGGAUGCAGAUCCUGAUUUUGGUUCAUGCCAGGCUAAAGAACUUCUUGAUCAUCUUGAAAG